Molecule: ribosomal RNA, 1436 nt
Filed under: uncultured Pelagibacterales bacterium
Lineage: Bacteria; Pseudomonadati; Pseudomonadota; Alphaproteobacteria; Candidatus Pelagibacterales
Description: bacterial SSU rRNA
Rfam family: Bacterial small subunit ribosomal RNA
Source: RNAcentral
AGAGUUUGAUCCUGGCUCAGAACGUACGCUGGCGGCACGCCUAACACAUGCAAGUCGAACGAAGUAGCAAUACUUAGUGGCAGACGGGUGAGUAACAUGUAGGUAUCUGCCCUUUGGCCUGGAAUAACACGAGGAAACUUGUGCUAAUACCGGAUAAGUCUUUACGGAGAAAGCUUUAUGCACCAUUGGAUGAGCCUGCACUUGAUUAGUUUGUUGGUGGGGUAAUGGCCUACCAAGACUGUGAUCAAUAGCUGAUUUGAGAGGAUGAUCAGCCACAUUGGGACUGAGACACGGCCCAAACUCCUACGGGAGGCAGCAGUGGGGAAUCUUGCACAAUGGAGGAAACUCUGAUGCAGCGAUGCCGCGUGAGUGAAGAAGGCCCUUGGGUUGUAAAGCUCUUUCGUCGGGGAAGAAAAUGACUGUACCCGAAUAAGAAGGUCCGGCUAACUUCGUGCCAGCAGCCGCGGUAAUACGAAGGGACCUAGCGUAGUUCGGAAUUACUGGGCUUAAAGAGUUCGUAGGUGGUUGAAAAAGUUGGUGGUGAAAUCCCAGAGCUUAACUCUGGAACUGCCAUCAAAACUUUUCAGCUAGAGUUUGAUAGAGGAAAGCAGAAUUUCUAGUGUAGAGGUGAAAUUCGUAGAUAUUAGAAAGAAUACCAAUUGCGAAGGCAGCUUUCUGGAUCAUUACUGACACUGAGGAACGAAAGCAUGGGUAGCGAAGAGGAUUAGAUACCCUCGUAGUCCAUGCCGUAAACGAUGUGUGUUAGACGUUGGAAAUUUAUUUUCAGUGUCGCAGCGAAAGCGAUAAACACACCGCCUGGGGAGUACGACCGCAAGGUUAAAACUCAAAUGAAUUGACGGGGACCCGCACAAGUAGUGGAGCAUGUGGUUUAAUUCGAAGAUACGCGCAGAACCUUACCAACACUUGACAUGUUCGUCGCGACUUUAAGAGAUUAGAGUUUUCGGUUCGGCCGGACGAAACACAGGUGCUGCAUGGCUGUCGUCAGCUCGUGUCGUGAGAUGUUGGGUUAAGUCCCGCAACGAGCGCAACCCUCACUUUUAGUUGCCAUCAUUUAGUUGGGCACUCUGAAAGAACUGCCAGUGAUAAGCUGGAGGAAGGUGGGGAUGACGUCAAGUCCUCAUGGCCCUUACGUGUUGGGCUACACACGUGCUACAAUGGUAUCUACAACAGGAAGCAAGACUGCGAAGUUUAGCAAAUCCUUAAAAGAUACCUCAGUUCGGAUUGCACUCUGCAACUCGAGUGCAUGAAGCUGGAAUUACUAGUAAUCGUGGAUCAGCGUGCCACGGUGAAUGCGUUCCCGGGUCUUGUACACACCGCCCGUCACACCAUGGGAGUUGGUUCUACCUUAAGGCAAGGCUUUAAACCCUUGACCACGGUAUAGUCAGCGACUGGGGUGAAGUCGUAACAAGGUAACC